This 223-nucleotide ribosomal RNA is filed under the name uncultured cyanobacterium. RNAcentral's name for it is "partial 16S ribosomal RNA". It matches the Rfam family "Bacterial small subunit ribosomal RNA", at positions 577 to 800 of the family's 1533-position model. Lineage: Bacteria; Bacillati; Cyanobacteriota. The record is from RNAcentral.
GCUUAGUUAAGUCUGCUGUCAAAGCCUGCAGCUCAACUGUGGAGUGGCAGUGGAAACUGAUUGACUAGAGUGCGAUAGGGGUAGAGGGAAUUCCCAGUGUAGCGGUGAAAUGCGUAGAUAUUGGGAAGAACACCAGUGGCGAAGGCGCUCUACUGGGUCGCAACUGACGCUGAGGGACGAAAGCUAGGGGAGCGAAAGGGAUUAGAUACCCCUGUAGUCAAGC